Bos taurus (domestic cattle) is the source of this 465-nucleotide long non-coding RNA. The record is from Ensembl. Lineage: Eukaryota; Metazoa; Chordata; Mammalia; Artiodactyla; Bovidae.
GUUGGCGCAGCGGGUAAAGAAUCUGCCUGCAAUGCAGGAGACACAGAAGCUUAAUGUCAGCUGAGACUUUCUCUGCUACUUUACUGGAACUCAUCCUAAUAGGCAGGUGGAUGCUUCUAGAGAAGAACCAAGAUUUAUUCCAAGGAAGGCAAAAACAAGAUCAUGGCUUCUCUGGUGGCUCAGUGGUAAAGAGUCUGCCUUCUAAGGCAGGAGACACAGGUUCGAUCCCUGGUCUGGGAAGAUCCCACAUGCCGCGGAGCAGCUAAGCCCGUGUGCCACAGCUACUGAGCCUGUGCUCCACAUCAGCGGAAGACACCACACUGAGAAGCCCAAGCGCCACAGCUAGAGGGUAGCCCCUGCUCGCCACAGCUAGAGACAAGCCUGAGCAGUAACGAAGACCCAGCAAAGCCAAAAAGAGAUACAUAAGAUUAUAAAAUAAAUAAAUAAAUGUUAUCUCACUUGAAC